This 218-nucleotide long non-coding RNA is filed under the name Lathyrus oleraceus (garden pea). RNAcentral's name for it is "Pisum sativum (pea) long non-coding RNA (PSAT_LNC035258)". The record is from RNAcentral. Lineage: Eukaryota; Viridiplantae; Streptophyta; Magnoliopsida; Fabales; Fabaceae.
AAAAGUCCAAGAAAAAUGCGGAAGGUCAACAAAAAUACCAAUGAUUUGACCUUAAAAUUUGGGAGAAUUUUUUUUUUUAAAAUGGUUAAAAUAAAAAAUGUAAAAAUAAAAUAAAAUGGAAAAUAAAAUAAAAUAUAAAAUAAAUGCAAAAAUGAUUUUAAAAAUUGUGCAAAAAUAGUAUGAGAUAGAAUUUAUUUUUAUGAAAUUAUGGAAAAAAA